AACCCAUGAUAUGGGCAUUUUCUCAGCAUCACUUUAAAUCUCUCUCAUGUUUCACAUAAGGCUUCAUCUGAUCCGUAUAUGAACAUAGAAAUAUCAUACUUUAUAUU
Molecule: small nucleolar RNA, 107 nt
Filed under: Phaseolus vulgaris (common bean)
Lineage: Eukaryota; Viridiplantae; Streptophyta; Magnoliopsida; Fabales; Fabaceae
Description: Plant small nucleolar RNA R71
Rfam family: Plant small nucleolar RNA R71
About the family: R71 is a member of the C/D box family of snoRNAs containing the C (UGAUGA) and D (CUGA) box motifs. Multiple nearly identical copies of this snoRNA have been identified in Arabidopsis, and it is thought to function as a 2'-O-ribose methylation guide for 18S ribosomal RNA.
Source: Rfam by way of RNAcentral